RNAcentral lists this ribosomal RNA (830 nucleotides) under uncultured archaeon. Its description in RNAcentral is "bacterial SSU rRNA". It matches the Rfam family "Archaeal small subunit ribosomal RNA", at positions 23 to 859 of the family's 1478-position model. The record is from RNAcentral.
GCUACCGCUAUUGGAAUCCGAUUAAGCCAUGCGAGUCGAGAGAUUUCGGAUCUCGGCAGACGUCUCAGUAACACGUGGAUAAUCUGCCCUUGAGUGGGGGAUAAGCUUGGAAACCUGAGUAUAAUACCCCAUAGGUCUAGGAUGCUGGAAUGCUUCUAGGCUGAAAGCUCCGGCGCUCAAGGAUGAGUCUGCGACCUAUCAGGCUGUAGUGGGUGUAACGGACCCACUAACCUUCGACGGGUACGGGCCUUGAGAGAGGUUGCCCGGAGUUGGACUCUGAGACACGAGUCCAGGCCCUACGGGGUGCAGCAGGCGCGAAAACUUCACAAUGUGGGAAACCACGAUGAGGGGAUUCCAAGUGCCAACACACUGUGUUGGCUGUUCGUCUGCCUAAAAAGCUGGUGAAGUAAGGGCCGGGUAAGACGGGUGCCAGCCGCCGCGGUAAUACCCGCGGCCCGAGUGGUGGCCGUUAUUAUUGAGCCUAAAGCGUCCGUAGCCGGUUUAGUAAAUCUCUGGGUAAAUCGGGCGGCUUAACCGUCCGAAUUCCGGAAAGACUGCUAAACUUGGGACCGGGGGAGGUUGGAGGUACUCCUGGGGUAGGGGUGAAAUCCUGUAAUCCUGGGGGGACCACCAGUGGCGAAGGCGUCCAACCAAAACGGCUCCGACGGUAAGGGACGAAGCCUUGGGGCGCAAACGGGAUUAGAUACCCCGGUAGUCCAAGGUGUAAACGCUGCAGGUUUGGUGUUGGGGGUCCCACGAGGGCGCCCAGUGCCGGAGAGAAGUUGUUAAACCUGCCGCUUGGGGAGUACGUCCGCAAGGAUGAAACUUAA